This 564-nucleotide ribosomal RNA is filed under the name uncultured Bacillota bacterium. RNAcentral describes it as "bacterial SSU rRNA". It matches the Rfam family "Bacterial small subunit ribosomal RNA", at positions 338 to 916 of the family's 1533-position model. The record is from RNAcentral. Lineage: Bacteria; Bacillati; Bacillota.
CCUACGGGAGGCAGCAGUGGGGAAUAUUGCGCAAUGGGGGAAACCCUGACGCAGCAACGCCGCGUGAAGGAAGAAGGCUUUCGGGUCGUAAACUUUUGUCUUCUGGGAAGAAUAAAUGACGGUACCAGAGGAGGAAGCCACGGCUAACUACGUGCCAGCAGCCGCGGUAAUACGUAGGUGGCGAGCGUUGUCCGGAUUUACUGGGUGUAAAGGGUGCGUAGGCGGGUAUGCAAGUCAGAUGUGAAAUACCGGGGCUCAACUCCGGGGCUGCAUUUGAAACUGCAUAUCUUGAGUGCAGGAGAGGAAAGUGGAAUUCCUAGUGUAGCGGUGAAAUGCGUAGAGAUUAGGAGGAACACCAGUGGCGAAGGCGACUUUCUGGACUGUAACUGACGCUGAGGCACGAAAGUGUGGGGAGCGAACAGGAUUAGAUACCCUGGUAGUCCACACUGUAAACGAUGGAUACUAGGUGUAGGGGGUAUCGACCCCUUCUGUGCCGGAGUUAACACAAUAAGUAUCCCACCUGGGGAGUACGGCCGCAAGGUUGAAACUCAAAGGAAUUGACGG